AUGGGGCCCAGAGAGCCCCGAGCUGGGGAGGGGAGGGGACUCCCCCGGACUGCCUCAGGGGGGCCCGGCCAUGGAACCGCCCUGCUCGCUGCCCCCAGUCCCCGGACCCCCCUGAGCCCCUGGCCCGGCUCCGCUGUCGCCGCCGCCUCCGCCGCCUCCGCUUGCGCCCCCCUCCCAUCACAUGGGGCGCCCCCUCCCCAUGCUCCCCGCCCUGCGCCCCCACCCCCUUGGAGCCCCGGGACCUUGGUGCUGCUCCAGGGAGGCGCGCCGGACCGUGCACCCUGGCCUAGGUGGGGGCGCCGAGAUGGGCGGAGGAGGGCGGGGAGGACAGUAGUGGGGGGCAAAUGGGGGAGAUGGAGGAAAAGAGGCAGAAAAGGGGACCAGAGGCUGGGGGAGAAGAACCGGUGCGGGAGAGACAGGGGUGGGAAACAGAGACUCAAGGGACAGGGGCGCGGAUGCAGUCGGAGAGGGGGUCUUGAGGGUGGGAAGCUAGCGGGGCUGGCCGUGGGGAGGAUUCGCAGGGGCGCGGGGAGGAUGCUGGGGAUGGAGAUACAGGAGGUGGCGGGGGAGGAAGGAGGGAGCGGGAGGGGGUGGGAACCCUGGGGUCUGGGGUCUAGGAGGGGAGGGGGCGUGAGAUCUCGGCAGAGUCCCGGGGCCUCGCCCGGGUUCGGCUGGGUCCGGAUGCGCGCUGUGUCCGGGCGCUCCCCUCACAUUGAGGAGGAGGCGGCCCCCGGCCCCCCCCACCUCCUCUCCCCCCCACCUCUCCACCAGCACCGCUGUCUGCGAGGGCGGUACAAAAUCCAGGACUGGAUUUCCCUCCCAAAUCCUGGGCUGGAUUUGCUGGGACUGGGACUCACCUUCUCCUACAACCUAGCCCCUUCCUAUCGCCAGCCAGGUUGGGCAGCGACUUGUGGGAGCGACUGUCGGGGUGUGGUAUUUAGGGGUAAAGGUGACAGUUGCCAGAAACGGAGAAAACUGGGGUCACUGCCAGUUCUAGGGGAGCUGAAGUGGGAAAGUAGGGAACCCUGAAAUCCUUUCCCCAGGACUCCUCUCCCCUUUCUGUACCUGGAUAAGUUCAUUUUCUCAUCACCCAGCUCCCUCUCCCACCCACAUCUCCACAUUUAGUGCUUUGGUGGGGCUCUGACUUGCGCUGACUGUCCCAAAGUGAACUUGAAAAGUGUUCCCCAGGGAAGGGGACAAACAUGGAACUUAGCGGGGGAUGGGGGGUUGCCUGCGGGGGAAGAGAUAUUAGGACUCAAGAGCCUUGACUGCUGGGGUGAGACCAAGUCCCCAGAUCAAGGUAGAGGGAAUAGAACUACAUCUACCAAUCUACACCCCCCAUACCAAAAUGCAUCCAGUCUCCAUAGCAACCAGAGCUCCAAGAGUGCCUCAGAAGCAGCAGGGAUACACAGAGAGGACGGAUGGUGCGUACUGUGGGUGGGGGCCCGCCAGGGGAUGCUGGGUUAGUGAAGGCACUACCCUCACACCUGGUUACCCACCUGUGGGUAUUUUGCCCCCCAGUAUAAGGACCCCCUCAGUUGAGGCAGCAGCAGCUGGCCUCCUCUGAGUUUCCGUUUAGUCUCCUGAGCUUUAUGGGGCAGCGCUUUUGGAAGGUUAAAGAAAGCUGGUGGGCUUGUUGCUCAUUGGAGUGGCUGCUUGGGGCAAGGGCCUGGGUCUGGUGUCCAACAUCCACAUCAUUGGAGGAGUCAUUGCUGUAGGAGUCUUCCUUCUCCUCAUCGCAGUGGUUGGACUGGUGGGU
RNA transcript from Cavia porcellus (domestic guinea pig), 1759 nucleotides. It is a transcript of the gene named tetraspanin 31, with no coding region annotated. The record is from RefSeq and is a predicted model, not a curated record. NCBI's taxonomy places the organism in Eukaryota, Metazoa, Chordata, Mammalia, Rodentia, Caviidae. The transcript has 2 exons.